Molecule: long non-coding RNA, 2193 nt
Organism: Paramisgurnus dabryanus
Lineage: Eukaryota; Metazoa; Chordata; Actinopteri; Cypriniformes; Cobitidae
Source: RefSeq, a predicted model, not a curated record
UACAUCCAGGCUAAAUGACUGAGCUGAGCUCAAUGAAGCCAAAACAAGUGCGUCCACGCUUAAUUGGUUGCACAAAGACCAAGCCAGGAUGAUCAGACACGGAUUCAUCAAGCCAGGUGAAACCAAUCCUGGAUAGGUGCGCGCUCACGGCUCACUCAACUAGACCCCGCCACCGAUCACAGAUUCACUGAUUCACCAUGGCAACUAGCGGCGUUCUUUUCCCCGUCAGAGGCACAAAUCCAUACGAGGAGGUAAAAGACAUAAUUAAGAAGAAAGGCAACACCGCCACAGUGGUAAAGCAGAGAGAAAAAGCGUGGCAAAGUAUUGCAGACCGCCUGAAUGCAUUAAAUAUGACCGGGCCAAAACGGACAUGGCAGCAGGUCAAAAUCAAAAUCUGCAGAAUGCAGUGAAAAAGAAUACCCAGAGACAAGGCACGGGUGGUGGGUCACCAAAAGCUGACCUCACCCCAGCAGAGGCCAGCUUUGGAGCUAAAUAAAGGCAGGCCUGUUGGAGGGAAUCCCUGGGGGAAAAGAGACAAGCAUAGGUCCCUCACAAGAUGCCACCCGCUUCAUACAAGGUAUGUUCUUCCAUCUCUACAUGGGACACAAUCACAUUCAUAUUGAAUCUAUUUGGACUGUCUGACUUUGGUUUGCCUAUUGCCUUGUAGUGUCUGGUAGCACUGUGUUACUGUUAAAGCCACCAGCACGAGCACCUGACGAUGCUGAUCCAGUGAGUACUCCAUCAAAGGCAUACUGUAGGCCUGGCAUGUCUUGUCUACUAGCUUCAAUAUGAAUCCGAUUAAAUGUGAUGGGGUCAAGGCCCCAUUUCAUCAGCACAUAACGGCGAUGAUGAUGAGGAGACCAUCUCUCUGGAUUCCAAAAGGCAUAAGGUAUCAUGUCAAACUUGUGAAAGUACUAUACAAAGGAGUCAUCAUUGGGAGCCAUCACAAAAUCUCAUUUCUUUUACAGGACCCAGAGUCAUUGGUGCACUGGACUGCACAAACAUAAGGAUAAAAGCCCCCUCAGGUGCCCAUGAGGCAGAUUUUGUAAAUAUGAAAUCUUUUUACAGCAUUAAUGUUCAGGUGAACAUAACUUUUUGAUCUUUUCCAUUGAACACUGGCAAAAUGGCCUGGCUCAGUCCAUGACUCCAGAAUCUUUUGGACCUCUGAAAUCUAUCAGCGCCUAUCACAAGACAGGGGGUAUGGCUGCCAGCCGUUUUUCCUGACACCUUUCACAGACCCCCAGGAAGCACAGCAGGCCUACAACUAUGCCCAUGCUAGGGCCAGAGUUGAAAUGACCUUUGGCCUCCUGAAGGCACGCUCUCACUGCCUUCACAAAUUAAGAGUCAGCCCUGUGAGGGCAUGUGACAUUACUGUGGCUUGUGGUGUCCUCCACAAUGUGGCCUGCCUGAGGAAGGAGAGGGCACCCAGAGUGCCGCCAGCCAUGGACUGGGACAAUCCGGAAAUCUUCCCUGAUGACAACAGUGGUCGGCUGCUGAGGGAUCAAUAAGUGUUGAAUUAUUUUAGUCAGUAUGUGUGCUUUCAAAUUUUUUUGAUGUUUGUGCUGUAUACUGUGUGUAUACUGUUUGUAAUACAAGCUUGCAGGGAGGCUACUGCAUCCAUUAAUUGUCUUGUUUUCAGUUGUCUGAAAUUGUCUGUUCAGUUAAUGUGUAUGAAUUUGUCCUGCAUUUAUUUCAGUGUGCAGACAUGCAGGGUGUGUUAUAUACAGACCUUUGAAUGUGUAUUUAUCCUUUGGUUGUAUAAUAUGCUUUGAUUCUGUGCUUUCCAUCUUGUAGAGUCACUGUGUGACUUCAGUUUCGAAAGGAGCUGAUGGUUUACCUGCUUUGUUUUGUCCUUAUUCAAUAAAGAAACAUAAUGUUACACUUUGUGCUUUUAUAUUUAUAUGAAAUGUGUAUGGUAUAAGGGCCACACAGAGGAAAGGAGAAAGUCAUACAUUUGAGGCUGGUUCUUUCUGUGGAAAGAUACAUAUUGUUUUUACAGUCCUGAUACUUAUAACAAUUUGAUUAAGUAUUUCCUUGUUUCUAAAACCAUACUGAAGUACAAUUCCACGAAAUGCCCCACAACUGUUAUUGUAACAACUGUCCUCCUCUAAAACAACAAGUUACAAUAUUACGACUUCAUUCUCUGUCUGUUUUUUUCUCUGUGGCCCUAAUGUUCUAUCAUUUUAUGUAUAG